UCUCGAUUGGUCUAGUGGUAAGGAUACCUGCUUGUCAAAUAGCAAUUCGCAGGUGGCCGGGGUUCGAUUCCCCGAUCGAGAG
This 82-nucleotide transfer RNA is filed under the name Xylaria sp. FL1042. RNAcentral's name for it is "tRNA-Asp". It matches the Rfam family "tRNA". Rfam says of the family: Transfer RNA (tRNA) molecules are approximately 80 nucleotides in length. Their secondary structure includes four short double-helical elements and three loops (D, anti-codon, and T loops). The record is from RNAcentral. Lineage: Eukaryota; Fungi; Ascomycota; Sordariomycetes; Xylariales; Xylariaceae.